GAGCUCGUAAGUGACCUGCGGAGGAUCAUUACCGAGUUGAUUCGAGCUCCGGCUCGACUCUCCCACCCUUUGUGUACCUACCUCUGUUGCUUUGGCGGGCCGCGGCUCGGCCCUCGUGCCGGCUAAGCACCCGCCAGAGGACUUCAAAACUCCAGUCAGUGAACGUCUCAGUCUGAAAAACAAGUUAAUAAACUAAAACUUUCAACAACGGAUCUCUUGGUUCUGGCAUCGAUGAAGAACGCAGCGAAAUGCGAUAAGUAAUGUGAAUUGCAGAAUUCAGUGAAUCAUCGAAUCUUUGAACGCACAUUGCGCCCCUUGGUAUUCCGGGGGGCAUGCCUGUUCGAGCGUCAUUUCAACCCUCAAGCUCUGCUUGGUAUUGGGCUCCGUCCUCCACGGACGCGCCUCAAAGACCUCGGCGGUGGCGUCUUGCCUCAAGCGUAGUAGAAAACACCUCGCUUUGGAGCGCACGGCGCCGCCCGCCGGACGAACCUUUGAAUUUUUCUCAAGGUUGACCUCGGAUCAGGUAGGGAUACCCGCUGAACUUAAGCUUUAGGGGGGG
This 559-nucleotide ribosomal RNA is filed under the name Diplodia sp. GS4_2_6. RNAcentral's name for it is "eukaryotic LSU rRNA". The stretch from base 197 to 350 matches the Rfam family "5.8S ribosomal RNA". Lineage: Eukaryota; Fungi; Ascomycota; Dothideomycetes; Botryosphaeriales; Botryosphaeriaceae. The record is from RNAcentral.